This 404-nucleotide ribosomal RNA is filed under the name bacterium. RNAcentral's name for it is "partial 16S ribosomal RNA". It matches the Rfam family "Bacterial small subunit ribosomal RNA", at positions 355 to 776 of the family's 1533-position model. The record is from RNAcentral.
UGGGGAAUAUUGGACAAUGGGCGCAAGCCUGAUCCAGCCAUGCCGCGUGAGUGAUGAAGGCCUUCGGGUUGUAAAGCUCUUUCACCCACGACGAUGAUGACGGUAGUGGGAGAAGAAGCCCCGGCUAACUUCGUGCCAGCAGCCGCGGUAAUACGAAGGGGGCAAGCGUUGUUCGGAAUGACUGGGCGUAAAGGGCGCGUAGGCGGUUCGUUGCGUCAGAUGUGAAAGCCCCGGGCUCAACCUGGGAACUGCAUUUGAUACGGGCGAGCUUGAAUCCAAGAGAGGGUGGUGGAAUUCCCAGUGUAGAGGUGAAAUUCGUAGAUAUUGGGAAGAACACCAGUGGCGAAGGCGGCCACCUGGCUUGGUAUUGACGCUGAGGCGCGAAAGCGUGGGGAGCAAACAGG